RNAcentral lists this transfer RNA (71 nucleotides) under Mimachlamys senatoria. RNAcentral describes it as "tRNA-Met". Lineage: Eukaryota; Metazoa; Mollusca; Bivalvia; Pectinida; Pectinidae. The record is from RNAcentral.
GGCAAGGUAGUGCAAUAUAUAGUGCGUCGGGCUCAUGCCCCGAAGGUGGAUAAACUGGUUUCCCCGUGCCA